AUGACUGAAAUAAUGCACAUGUGUAAUUAUUUUCCUGAUUUGAAUGUCACUGUGUUUGCAGGUGUCCAGUGUGACGUGAAACUGUUGGAGUCUGGAGAAGACCUGAGGCAGCCUGGGGCAUCUCUGAGACUCUCCUGUGCAGCCUCUGGGUUCACCUUCAGUAGCUAUCACAUGAACUGGUUUCGCCACCUCCAGGGAGGGUACUGCAGUGGGUAUCAUAUAUUAAUUACUGCUGAUGGUAACACAUACUACACAGGCUCUGUGAGGGGCAGAUUCACCAUCUCCAGAGAUAAUGCCAAAAACUUGCUCUAUCUCCAGAUGAACAAUCUGAAAAUUGAGCACACAGCAUGUAUUACUGUGCAAGAUACACAGUGAGAGUAAGUCAGUGUGAACUCAGACAGAAAGCUCUCUCUGAGAGCCAAGAGCACAGGAUGCAGAUCCAGUACAAGGUGCAGAUGUAG
Molecule: non-coding RNA, 461 nt
Organism: Elephantulus edwardii (Cape elephant shrew)
Lineage: Eukaryota; Metazoa; Chordata; Mammalia; Macroscelidea; Macroscelididae
Source: the annotation of a RefSeq genome assembly